UAUUAGAAAUCGUACCGUCUGCGGCGGAGUCGCCGCCCACCCCAGAAGAUGCAGAAGUUAAUAAGACAGUGGCUGGUAAGAAUGCACUAUCCGGCGUCCCCGUUGCCGUCUUAAUUCGGUAAACGAUUUUAAUUUUUUUACCGCCUGCAUCAGCAGGAAUGGUAAAAGCCGUCCCGGUUGCCGCCGGGGUUCCAGAAGGAUCGGCGGCCUCAUUAUCCACCAGAUACCAUUUAAUAUCGUCGGCAUUAUUCAUUUUAUCCAGCGAUAAGGGAUCCCCAUCCUUAUCCUCAAUAAAAACAUCCGCUAUCUGGAGGGUUGAACCGGUCGUCAGUUC
RNAcentral lists this unclassified non-coding RNA (334 nucleotides) under uncultured fungus. RNAcentral's name for it is "partial internal transcribed spacer 1". The record is from RNAcentral. Lineage: Eukaryota; Fungi.